Molecule: long non-coding RNA, 2073 nt
Organism: Zonotrichia leucophrys gambelii
Lineage: Eukaryota; Metazoa; Chordata; Aves; Passeriformes; Passerellidae
Exons: 3
Source: RefSeq, a predicted model, not a curated record
AGCUUGAUCAGAGCAGCUCUAACACCACUCUCCUGGGUGGGCUCUGCUGUUUAACCAGUGAGCUCCCACUGGAAUGGGUGGAGGCAUUAACUGGGUGCCUUUCCUCCACCUGAGGCUACUCCACCAGCCUCAUAGCAACUCCUUCCCACCUUUCCAUCAGACACACAGACAUUUACCAUCAGUUCUCCUUUACUGAAACCUUGUUUGCAGCUGUGGUUCAGCUGAAGGAUCCUGUGCUAGAUGCCAUGCACCCACGUGUGUACCUGAGCAGGGACAGGCUGGCUGUGGCAGAAGGGUGCUGGGAUGUUUGGGAACACACGGGAGGGGGACUGGGGCCCAUGUAAGCAGCUGGGUUUGCUCACAAGCUGGAGGUGGGACACAGCAGGGGCGGGGGAACAGGGCUGUGCCCCCAGGGUACAUCCCUGCACUAUAAAAACUCCUUUGGCUGCAUCCAGAGUCAGGGGAAAGCAGCAGCUUCCACCUCUGCUACUGACUCCUAGAGCCUUGUCCAGGCAGGAGGACCCUGAGCAAAGGCAGGACCUGAGGAUGAAGGUCCAGGCACUGGCAGUCACCACGCUCCUCCUGGUGCUGCUCUGCCCAGCCCCAGCACUGUCUGGGGCACUGGGGAGCCAGGCUGGCACCCUGCAGAGGCAGGCAGAGGCUGGGCUCCCUGGAGAAGCCCCUUGGCCACCUGGACUUGGAGGGGACAAGCUGCCUGGGCAGGGCUCAGAGAGAAGGAGCCACCCUCUGGCCAGUGCAUGGAAAGUGAUGAGAGAGGCACAGCCCAGCUCCAGGUCCCUCAGCAAGGCCACGGCCGGGGCUCUGCGGGGCAGUGGGGAGCAGGCUGCCCCUGGCAGGCCCUGGAGGCUCCCCCUGCAGCCCUCCCGCAGCAGGACGGCCAGGCUGAGCCAGCACCUGAAGGACUACGGGAAGUUCAACAGCGACACGCACUCCUGCCCCAGCAUCCAGUCCCGGCCCUGCCAGAAGCCCUCUGACUGCGGGGGCUGCCUGGGGCUCUACACCUGCAAGCUGCCCGCUGCCACCUGCCACCUGAAGGCUGUCUCCAGGCAGAGAGGUGGCUUCCUCCAAAGCAUACAGAGCCCUUAGAUGGAGAGUCAAGCUCAUCUUGGAGCAGCAUAGCUCAAACUAAAGCUGAAGAGGCUGUCCUGCAGCUGGAGAUCAACACUUCCUGUCCAAGUUGCAUUUUAAAUCCUUAAUGACACAGUUGUAAAUGCUUCUUUCAUUGUACUUCUCUUGUUCCUGCUUUUUAACAUCCCCUUUGGGUUUUGUACACUAUGUAGGCUUGAUUCCCACUUUCUUGAGAGCAGACAAUAAAUGCAGUGAGUGGUCAUGGAGCCCUGUGCUGGCAGAGCCCCCUUGGAGCUCCCCAAUGAGGCAAACAGGGCUAUUUCACAGCCCUUUUUAAUUUGAGCCAUUAGGAUAGUGCAGUAAAAGCUGCCAGCAUCUCAGCAUGCUCACACACCAGUUCAAGCUGAGCUAAGUGUUGGGUAGCCUGGGAUCCCUCCCUGCUCCUCACCACAGCUCCUGCCAAGGAAGGCCAAGUCCCACGCUGCUGAAAACAUCACUAAGGAGAGGAAUGUGGAGUCCCCAGGAGAGGCUUAGCAGUGUGGGGCCAUGUAGGAGACCUGCUUCUGAAGGCUGGAGCUGAGCCACAGAUCAGCUUUAUUUAGCAACCCACAGAGCUUUGCAGGCAUCCUGGCCACCUUUACACGUGUGGGGGUGACCCCAGCUUUGCAAAGCUCCAUAAUGUUUCCAUUUAAAACCCUUCUAGAACAAGAACCAAAGCACAGCAUUUGAUUCACCUCAAACCCCACUGCAGUUCCCUUCAGUGAGCCACCACCAGCUCCUGUGACAGUGAAGUGGCACCAGUUUUGUUCAGCACACCCAAGGGGCAGCCCCCCCCACCUGGUCACCUCUGAGGGAGCCUGACCCUGGCUGGGGAAGGGGAGUAAAUGCUGCUGGCUUCUCUGAGCCCCUCUAUUGUUGCUUCCUCUGCCCCUGCACAGAGGUUUGGGGGGCACAGAGCUGCAGGUGUUGCCUCCUGCCUGGUGU